RNAcentral lists this long non-coding RNA (1166 nucleotides) under Oryza sativa (Asian cultivated rice). RNAcentral's name for it is "long non-coding RNA (OSAT_LNC000332)". The record is from RNAcentral. Lineage: Eukaryota; Viridiplantae; Streptophyta; Magnoliopsida; Poales; Poaceae.
ACCCCAAUCCUUCUCCCGGCCGUACACCAUUUCGUUCCGACGCGAGUAAUUCCUCCCCACGGGCGGCGACUAGGGCGGCUAGGGUUCGUCGGGCGCCGCCGUGCCGGAGAUCGCCUCUCGCCGCCGACACCCGGAUCUCCGCCGCCGCCGGUCGCCCCAGGUUAUCCCGCUCCCGCAGUCACCAUCCCGUCUUCUCCGCCAGUCGCCUCACGCCCGGCCUGGACGCCCCGGAAUCCAUUGUCGGUCUCGCCCCGCCGACUGCCGUUGACGCCACUGGCUGAAGGUAAUAAGCCGCUCACCUCUCCCUCUCCCCCUCCCCCUGCGAGCUCAUGGAUUUAAUCCAUUCGCUCGUGCGUGUUCUCCGUACUUGGGUGAACUAAACCUAGUUCGUGUUCUCCCUACUUAGGUGGAGUAAAAUAGUUGAACGUUUGUUCUCUGUACAACAACUGUCACCUAUCUUCUCAUUUAGGAGCUUCGAUUUAUCCUAGAAUGAACGGAACCAGCGGUUUUGGAUGAGUUCAGUACUGUGGUACUCUUGUUCUCGUGGACGAUUUAGAGGAGCCACUCCUGUUGAGAAGAAUUAUAUUUCAUAGUUCCCCGAUGGUAAUGAAUCACUAGAGCCCGUAUUUUGCUAGUAUAUAUUGAUUAACUUCCACAAAUGUGAAGGAUAAUCAUGGUGCAUAGUUUUUGUAUGUCAAGUUUUCUCAAUCAGGUGGCAGCUGUAUUGCUUGCUAGUAAAAAUGUUGUGCUGAUUGGUUGUUUUUAAAGGCGAUACGCAGAUUGGUUGCUUUUCUUAGAUGAAAUUCUGAUUGGUUGCUAGACAAGCAGUUUGCCCUUCAAAUGCUAUGGCCCACCUGCAAACGCCCUAGAGUGCUUUGGUGCUCUAAUCUAAAUGACCUAGGAAAGGAUUAGGAUGCUGUUGCUUAAGUUGUUUGGGCUGCAAUGGAUACAAGUUAGUUAGGGCUGGAAAUGAUGAUCUCCAUUUUCAGAACAUAUAAGGCUGGGAAUGGGCCUUGGCCUGUCACCAGGCCUUCAAAUGGAGAAUAGACAAACUAUGUCGACUUAUUAGUUGUGUUUUCUCUUGCUCUUCUUUUGUCUGUAAGUGUUGGGUGUUCUAUUUGUUUUUAUACGGAAUUAAUUGCACGCAAAAAACCGAGUGCUCACUU